AUUGAACGCUGGCGGCAGGCUUAACACAUGCAAGUCGAGCGAGCGGCGGACGGGUGAGUAAUGUGUGGGAAAAAGCCCGUUGGAGGGGGAUAUCAAUAGUAAAAGGUAGAUAAUAUAGCACACGACAACAGGUGUCCCGAUGGGAUUAGCUAGUGGGUGGGGUAAAGGCUCACCUAGGCGACGAUCCCUAGCUGGUCUGAGAGGAUGACCAGCCACACUGGAACUGAGACACGGUCCAGACUCCUACGGGAGGCAGCAGUGGGGAAUAGUGCACAAUGGGCGCAAGCCUGAUGCAGCCAUGCCGCGUGUGUGAAGAAGGCCUUCGGGUUGUAAAGCACUUUCAGCGGGGAGGCGUUACUCGCAGAAGAAGCACCGGCUAACUCCGUGCCAGCAGCCGCGGUAAUAC
This 406-nucleotide ribosomal RNA is filed under the name uncultured bacterium. RNAcentral describes it as "partial 16S ribosomal RNA". It matches the Rfam family "Bacterial small subunit ribosomal RNA", at positions 29 to 526 of the family's 1533-position model. The record is from RNAcentral.